RNAcentral lists this ribosomal RNA (519 nucleotides) under uncultured Glomeromycotina. Its description in RNAcentral is "SSU rRNA". It matches the Rfam family "Eukaryotic small subunit ribosomal RNA", at positions 569 to 1092 of the family's 1831-position model. Lineage: Eukaryota; Fungi; Glomeromycota. The record is from RNAcentral.
AGCAGCCGCGGUAAUUCCAGCUCCAAUAGCGUAUAUUAAAGUUGUUGCAGUUAAAAAGCUCGUAGUUGAAUUUUGGAUUCUGCCAGUUGGUCCAUCUUUUGAUGAGUACUGAUUGUGUGGGGUCUAUCCGCCUGGUGAUACGUAAUGUACUUUAUUGUAUGUUGCGGGUAGUCAGGACCUUUACCUUGAAAAAUUAGAGUGUUUAAAGCAGGCUUAUGCCGGAAUACAUUAGCAUGGAAUAAUAGAAUAGGACGAUGUUGUUUUAUUUUGUUGGUUUCUAGGACAACCGUAAUGAUUAAUAGGGAUAGUUGGGGGCAUUAGUAUUCAAUUGUCAGAGGUGAAAUUCUUGGAUUUAUUGAAGACUAACUACUGCGAAAGCAUUUGCCAAGGAUGUUUUCAUUAAUCAAGAACGAAAGUUAGGGGAUCGAAGACGAUCAGAUACCGUCGUAGUCUUAACCAUAAACUAUGCCGACUAGGGAUCGGGCGAUGUUGUUUCCAUGACCCGCUCGGCACCUUAUA